RNAcentral lists this long non-coding RNA (1198 nucleotides) under Equus caballus (horse). Its description in RNAcentral is "lncRNA (ENSECAG00000056564.1)". The record is from RNAcentral. Lineage: Eukaryota; Metazoa; Chordata; Mammalia; Perissodactyla; Equidae.
CCCGGCCCGGAGCGCCGCCCGCCCGCCCGCCGCGCGCUCCAACUCCGGCUCGGUCCGCGGCGCGUCCGCGCUGCCGGCUCCUCGCCGCCCGCCGGAGCCUCGGCGCCCCUCCGCAGCCAGCGGCUCCGCCCGCUAUGGCCCGGGCCCCGGGGCCCGCCGCCCCCCGCCCGCCGCCCCUCGCGCCCCAGGGGCUCAGCUGAUCCUGAAUUGGCGGGGGGCGGCUGGCGGGGCUGGAGGUCCCCUGCGAUCUCCGGCUUCGGGGGGACGCGUCGCCCCCGCGUCUCUAACCUGGACCACCCCCCGCUGCCCGGCCAAGUCCAUGCCAAGACGGUGGCCGGGGGCCUGCCAGGCUGAGCCGUGUGCCGAGGUGGUUGGUGUCAGAGCCGGGACUCCGACAGUGCUCUCGGCUUCCCGCGUCCAUGCUCCGAAACACUGCACGACAGAGCCUGAGGUGGUUGUCGUUAGUAUCUGGGGCUUCUAAGGUUCUGGGUGAGUCUAAGCUGUUCUGAUUCUGAGGUUCCUGGAUUUUAGUAUUCUCGGAAUGAAUUUGUUGUUUGUUCUUCUAGUUGUAACAAGAGCUGGUGUGUGGUUGUUGACAAAGGGAUAAACAGGUUUUCUGCCUGUGAAAACACACACACACACACACACACACACAUGUGCACACAUGCGCGCACACACACACGCAGAGGGCCUGGGCGACCAGAACGGGCCUCAGGUCUGUCUUCACCGGGACUCUGAGCUCUGCAUACACAGGGCCUCCCCACACCAUGCUCCACGGGCUCUGGAGUGCCAGCUGGAAGAUUCUGGAAUGCAGGUUUCCCCGUGGACUUGGGAGGACUUGGGGAGGUCUUUGCCCACACUGAGGGUCUUGCCUGGACCAACAGCCAUCUCGGUGACUUGACUGGGACGGCAGGCCUGGUUCCCUGCCCCAGGGUGGUGCCUGUAAUGGUUAUGCUUGGGCUCAGGAGGAGCAGACCUGGACUGGGACCCCAACUCUGCCCUAUACCAGCUGGGUGACCUUGGGCACUGCUGGACUUUCCUGGGCCCCAGUUUCUUUCCCCAUAAAGUAGGAAUAAGCAUGAUCUGUACAUCAUGGGAAUCGACAUAGGCAAUGUACAGAAAGCUGUUUGCCUAUUGCCUGGCACAGAGCCAGAGUCAGUCAGAGCCUCUGUGAUGCUGUGGGGAUAGUGGUGAUGGU